RNAcentral lists this ribosomal RNA (497 nucleotides) under uncultured bacterium. RNAcentral's name for it is "partial 16S ribosomal RNA". It matches the Rfam family "Bacterial small subunit ribosomal RNA", at positions 28 to 507 of the family's 1533-position model. The record is from RNAcentral.
GAUGAACGCUGGCGGCGUGCCUAAUACAUGCAAGUCGAGCGCACGGACGAGAAGCUUGCUUCUCUGAUGUUAGCGGCGGACGGGUGAGUAACACGUGGAUAACCUACCUAUAAGACUGGGAUAACUUCGGGAAACCGGAGCUAAUACCGGAUAAUAUUUUGAACCGCAUGGUUCAAAAGUGAAAGACGGUCUUGCUGUCACUUAUAGAUGGAUCCGCGCUGCAUUAGCUAGUUGGUAAGGUAACGGCUUACCAAGGCAACGAUGCAUAGCCGACCUGAGAGGGUGAUCGGCCACCCUGGAACUGAGACACGGUCCAGACUCCUACGGGAGGAACAAGUAGGGAAUCUUCCGCAAUGGGCGAAAGCCUAACGGAGCAACGCCGCGUGAGUGAUGAAGGUCUUCGGAUCGUAAAACUCUGUUAUUAGGGAAGAACAUAUGUGUAAGUAACUGUGCACAUCUUGACGGUACCUAAUCAGAAAGCCACGGCUAACUACGUG